This 23-nucleotide non-coding RNA is filed under the name Arabidopsis thaliana (thale cress). Lineage: Eukaryota; Viridiplantae; Streptophyta; Magnoliopsida; Brassicales; Brassicaceae. The record is from RNAcentral.
UGGAGAGUAUUGGCCAACUUUCA